AGAACGAACGCUGGCGGCAUGCCUAACACAUGCAAGUCGAACGAGACCUUCGGGUCUAGUGGCGCACGGGUGCGUAACGCGUGGGAACCUGCCUUAGGUUCGGAAUAACUCAGAGAAAUUUGAGCUAAUACCGGAUGAUGUCUUCGGACCAAAGAUUUAUCGCCUGAGGAUGAGCCCGCGUAGGAUUAGCUUGUUGGUGAGGUAAAAGCUCACCAAGGCGACGAUCCUUAGCUGGUCUGAGAGGAUGAUCAGCCACACUGGGACUGAGACACGGCCCAGACUCCUACGGGAGGCAGCAGUGGGGAAUAUUGGACAAUGGGCGAAAGCCUGAUCCAGCAAUGCCGCGUGAGUGAUGAAGGCCUUAGGGUUGUAAAGCUCUUUUACCCGGGAUGAUAAUGACAGUACCGGGAGAAUAAGCUCCGGCUAACUCCGUGCCAGCAGCCGC
This 445-nucleotide ribosomal RNA is filed under the name uncultured bacterium. Its description in RNAcentral is "SSU rRNA". It matches the Rfam family "Bacterial small subunit ribosomal RNA", at positions 26 to 518 of the family's 1533-position model. The record is from RNAcentral.